This 322-nucleotide unclassified non-coding RNA is filed under the name Bombus terrestris (buff-tailed bumblebee). RNAcentral's name for it is "misc RNA ENSBTSG00005030636.1". Lineage: Eukaryota; Metazoa; Arthropoda; Insecta; Hymenoptera; Apidae. The record is from RNAcentral.
AUACUGAAAAUGAAUAUUGUUAGGAAAGUUUUCGAGCAUAGUGCAAUAAAAUCGACCUCGCGGGUAUAAUUUCGAUAACUCAAUAAAAAACGAAGGACUGAAAAGUAAUCGUGUAUGUAGGAGGAUUGUCGUUUUCCACGGGAUACGAUUUCCUGCUUGGUUUUCCAACGUUUGCCUCCUUUCAUCCCCGGAUCCAGGAGGGUGGAACAAAAACGAGCGUCCAGAGGGUAAUAGGGAGAAGAAAUUCCGAGAAACGGAGAAAAUGUUGAAAGAUUCGCGAUAUCGCAACUAACAGAAUUGCAUACAUUCAAAAGAGAAACAG